UUUUAUUUGUUUAUUAGAUGAGAUCAGUGUAACUCUCCUCUGCCGUCAAUCGUCGGCUCUCUCGGCAAUGGCGAUGUCGGCGUCGGCGACGCGAAGACUUCCCCGCUUCCUGAAAACCCAAAAUCCCCCCGGGGCCCUCCGAUGGCGAGGGCGUUCGAUUUUCUUGUCAGCGAGCACACUGCCAAAUGGCUGCAGGAUACCAGCAAGAAAUCACUGAUGCAAUUGAUCAACGAAGUGCCUCCAGUCAAAUUUGAAGGUCGGAUUGUUGCUUGUGAAGGAGAUAGUUGCCCAACCUAAUUCCAACUGUGGAGGUAAUUCACCUCAUGGUUUGCUCAUUUCAUGUUGCUAACUAAAUCUCUGCUUCAAAUGCAGAUAGUAAUCCGGCCCUUGGCCAUCCAAUAGAGUUUAUUUGCCUUGACCUGGAAGCACCAGCGGUCUGCAAACACUGUGGCUUUCGUUAUGUUCAAGAUCAUCAUCACUAAGAUGACAGAAUGCGGCUGAAUCUUAACUGAUGAUUUGCUUGAUGCAUCAUAAGAAAAUUUAUGCGUGUUCUCAGCUUUUCAAAGCGUAACUAGCUUAUUUGGACUUUGUAUUGUUGAAGUAUUUUGUUGUCACUGGAGGCAUAAUAAUUAUGAAUAUAUUCCACCAUAAUAGAUUCUUGUCAAGGGAAUUUUCUUUC
This is a long non-coding RNA of Musa acuminata AAA Group (dessert banana), 679 nucleotides long. RefSeq lists it as uncharacterized. The transcript is spliced from 2 exons. NCBI's taxonomy places the organism in Eukaryota, Viridiplantae, Streptophyta, Magnoliopsida, Zingiberales, Musaceae. The record is from RefSeq and is a predicted model, not a curated record.